UCCGUAGGGGGCAAGCGUUGUCCGGAAUCAUUGGGCGUAAAGCGCGUGUAGGCGGCUUGGUAAGUCCGCUCUGAAAGCCCGGGGCUCAACCCCGGGAGGCGGGUGGAUACUGUCAGGCUCGAGUCCGGAAGAGGCGAGUGGAAUUCCUGGUGUAGCGGUGAAAUGCGCAGAUAUCAGGAGGAACACCAAUGGCGAAGGCAGCUCGCUGGGACGUGACUGACGCUGAGACGCGAAAGCGUGGGGAGCAAACAGG
This 253-nucleotide ribosomal RNA is filed under the name uncultured bacterium. RNAcentral describes it as "partial 16S ribosomal RNA". It matches the Rfam family "Bacterial small subunit ribosomal RNA", at positions 524 to 776 of the family's 1533-position model. The record is from RNAcentral.